This 236-nucleotide ribosomal RNA is filed under the name uncultured bacterium. RNAcentral describes it as "partial 16S ribosomal RNA". It matches the Rfam family "Bacterial small subunit ribosomal RNA", at positions 15 to 248 of the family's 1533-position model. The record is from RNAcentral.
GAUCCUGGCUCAGGAUUAACGCUGGCGGCGUGCGUAACACAUUCAAGUCGAACGGAGAGAGGCAGCUUCGGUUGCGUCAAUCAGUGGCGGACGGGUGAGUAACGCGUGAGUAACCUGCCUGUAAGAGGGGGAUAACACCUGGAAACGGGUGCUAAUACCGCAUAAAUCAUAGUUGUCGCAUGGCAGCGAUGUAAAAGAGGAAUUGCUUACAGAUGGACUCGCGUCUGAUUAGAUAG